CAAUCCGCCCAGGCUCCACCCCUCGAAAAGACCCCGCCUCCGCCCAGGCCUCCGCCCAAGGGCGCCCUUUCGCCUAUAGAGGCUGGGCGGAGCCGGAGUUCAGGCCCCGCCCCGCUCAGGCUCCACCCCGGCCCCGCCCCGCGCCCUAAAGCAGCUAGAUGGGAUGUCCGGGUGCCCUGCUACAUGGAUUUUUGAAUCGGGCGGAUUUAAGCCUUCCUGGCUUUGCUUCCACCUCGCUGUGUGACCUAGGAACGUAGGCCCCAUGAGGACAAGACCUGUCUUUGCGGAUAUAUCCCAAGAACGGUGUCUGGCACAGAGGAGGUCUCCAGUAAAGGACUCCAGCCCCUGCCUCGGUGAUAUGACUUGUCACCAGCGUCUGCAGGACUCCGGAGGGCCUUCCCGGGGCGCCAAUGUGUUGACCUCACUAUGUUCCUGCCACGUCUCCAGCAGGCGUGAGACACUAAAUUCCUGUUUGUGUUUUGUUUAAGGGCAAGAGGAUUAGGGAGGAAGGAGAUGAUGAGGGAAGCAACGGGCAGAGUGGAGAGGGAGGAGAGAGGACCGUCACCGGUCUCCUUGGGGCCCCCACCCAGCCCUCCCUCCAAGCAGCUCGGAGGAGCAGCCAGCCGGCGCGGGUGAGGGCUGCGUGCCACGUACCCUGAGCCGAGUGCCACGUGGCCAAAGCAGUCCCGUUGAGUCACGGGACACAUAGCCACACUACUUUGUAGAGUUUGGUGUGUGGAGUAUUUUUGUUUUUUUACAGCCCAGCUGUCUGUGUAAUGACUUCCUUCCCUCGGCCUUGUUCACGGAGGUGUCCCUGAGCGACCAGCUGAGUCACCACAUUCCUCGCGGCUUAAAACACUGGCCCCAGCACCAAGGCCCAGUUCCUUCAUGGAGACGGGACCUCUCGAGGCAGGCAGGGGGUGCCCAGAAAGACGGGCUGUGGAGCUCCCCUUUCGAGCCCGCACCCUUCCUUCCAAAAAACGUGGUUAAGAACCGAGUAAAGAUGGAGAGAAAUUCCAUCUGCUAAGCAUGAGGAAGAAUGGCCACUCCGUGUGCCACAGCCUGAAGAAUUAUUUGUCCACGACCAUGAAGUCAGUACCAAAUGAGGGAGUGGUGGGGGGGACAAGGCACGGAUGUUCGUGUCGCGUGAAGAGACAGGAACACAAAGGAAGACUGGGGACUCUCAGUGCCCGGCUGGCAGGAACAGAAAAUGGCUUAGUCCUUCCAUAAAAUAAGCAGGUAAUUCUCAGUAACAUUACGUAUGCAUAGGACACAGAGGUUAGCCAUUUCACUCUUUGUAAUAAGUUGGAAAGUUUGCUCAGAUGCACAUAAAACGAGGAGGUUAUUUAGAAUAGCAUUAUUCAUGGCAUAGGUGAACGGGAGGCAAGUGAUGUGCUCAAGGAAGGAGCUAGUAAACCACGGUGGAGGCCUACUUCAGAAUUCCACACAGCUCUGAGAAGUAAUGCCUGCUGGAGCGUGGACUUGCAGAGAGCUCAGUGCGAAAAACAGUCCAAGAGCUUGAAAGCACAACGCUUCUCAUUUUAUUGAGAUGGAACCGAUGUACAGUAAACCACACUUAUUUAAGGUGUACUAUUUGAGUUUCAACAUGUGUAAUUACCCAUGAAACCACCACCAUGAUCAAGAUAAUGAAUAUAUCGAUCACCUCCAAGUACAAGUACACCAGUAUGGAUUCAAAUGGACAGAGGUCUAACACCUGUGGUUAAGUUUUUCUUAUCUAUUUAUUUUUUUAAAAAAAGAUUUUAUUUAUUUAUUUGACAGACAGAGAUCACAAGUAGGCAGAGAGGCAGGCAGAGAGAGAGGAGGAAGCAGGCUCCCUGCUGAGCAGAGAGUCCGAUUUGGGGCUUGAUCCUAGGACCCUGGGAUCAUGACCUGAGCCCAAGGUAGAGGCUUUAACCCACUAAACCACCCAGGUGCCCCUGUGGUUAAGGUUUUUUUUUUUUUUUUUUUUUUUUGCCAGAGAGACAGUGAGAAAGAGCAUGAGAGAGGAGUAGGUCAGAAGUAGAAGCAGACUCCCCGUGGAAGUAGGAGCCCG
Molecule: long non-coding RNA, 2053 nt
Organism: Mustela lutreola (European mink)
Lineage: Eukaryota; Metazoa; Chordata; Mammalia; Carnivora; Mustelidae
Exons: 3
Source: RefSeq, a predicted model, not a curated record